CCUACGGGAGGCAGCAGUGAGGAAUAUUGGUCAAUGGGAGAGAUCCUGAACCAGCCAAGCCGCGUGAGGGAAGACGGCCCUAUGGGUUGUAACCCUCUUUUGUCGGAGAACAAAACCCGGGACGAGUCCCGGACUGCGUGUAUCCGAAGAAAAAGCAUCGGCUAACUCCGUGCCAGCAGCCGCGGUAAUACGGAGGAUGCGAGCGUUAUCCGGUUUUAUUGGGUUAAAAGGGUGCGUAGGCGGUCUGUUAAGUCAGCGGUAAAAUUGCGGGGCUCAACCCCGUCGAGCCGUUGAAACUGGCAGGCUUGAGUUGGCGAGAAGUACGCGGAAUGCGCGGUGUAGCGGUGAAAUGCGUAGAUAUCGCGCAGAACUCCGAUUGCGAAGGCAGCGUACCGGCGCCAGACUGACGCUGAGGCACGAAAGCGUGGGGAUCGAACAGGAUUAGAUACCCCGGUAGUC
RNAcentral lists this ribosomal RNA (459 nucleotides) under uncultured bacterium. Its description in RNAcentral is "partial 16S ribosomal RNA". It matches the Rfam family "Bacterial small subunit ribosomal RNA", at positions 338 to 795 of the family's 1533-position model. The record is from RNAcentral.